RNAcentral lists this unclassified non-coding RNA (102 nucleotides) under plant metagenome. RNAcentral describes it as "partial contains 5.8S ribosomal RNA, internal transcribed spacer 2, and large subunit ribosomal RNA". The record is from RNAcentral.
ACGGAGAGCGCAUCCAUCGCGUCCAUCACGUCCGGGAUCACGGGUGCCUUGCGGGCGAGAACGCGCAAGUCGAGCGCUCGGCCCUCCAGCAUGGCGUCGAGC